UUAAGGCCCAAUGCUUGAAACUUUUAGAGUAUAUAAUGGUCAUGAAGGAAUUGAUAUGCCGUGAUUACUCUUCUUUUUUAAUAGAAGAAAGUAAUUGAAAUGGCUAAAAUGGCUUCCUAUGCGUUCCCAAUCUUUUUCCUCAUUUUGUUUGCAUUUUAUAAUACUGCUAUUGCUCGAACAACUCGAGUCCCCAAAACCAUGGCAGUUGCAGAUGAAAAUAAAGAGAAUCCAAGGGUUAUUGGAGAAAGUAAAAUUGGAGUGGGCGAUCAUGGUUCACACCACGGCGGACCAGGUGGUCGCGUACCAGGUGGCCCUGGCAGCCAUGGGUGAUAUUUUGUCAUACCUAUAGAAAAUAAAUGCACGGGUUUUACAAGUUACAAAUUACGAAUUUAUACUUGUCUCGUGUAUGACAAUAUAUAUAUAUAUAUAUAAGCAUUUGAAAAUACAGUGAGAUAGAUAAUUAAAUAUAUUUUGUCAAAA
This is a long non-coding RNA of Jatropha curcas, 480 nucleotides long. RefSeq lists it as uncharacterized. NCBI's taxonomy places the organism in Eukaryota, Viridiplantae, Streptophyta, Magnoliopsida, Malpighiales, Euphorbiaceae. The record is from RefSeq and is a predicted model, not a curated record.